Molecule: unclassified non-coding RNA, 283 nt
Filed under: air metagenome
Description: partial contains small subunit ribosomal RNA, internal transcribed spacer 1, and 5.8S ribosomal RNA
Rfam family: Eukaryotic small subunit ribosomal RNA (bases 1-46)
Source: RNAcentral
AAGUCGUAACAAGGUUUCCGUAGGUGAACCUGCGGAAGGAUCAUUAAUGAAAACUUUCAGGAGUUGCUGCUGGCCUCUCGGGGCACUUGUGCACGCUCCGUUUUUUCAUCCACCCACACCUGUGCACAUUCAAUUUGAGAGGAAAAGGGGGAGGAUUUCAAUCUCUUUUUGGAGUUUUCCCUAUUUUUCUCCAAAUUUUUACACACUCCAUUGAAAUUAUUAGAACGAACUUGUUUUUUGUAAACAAACUUAACAACUUUCAACAACGGAUCUCUUGGCUCUC